UACGGAGGUCUCAAGCGUUGUUCGGAUUCAUUGGGCGUAAAGGGUGCGUAGGCGGCGCCGUAAGUCAGGUGUGAAAUUUCGGAGCUUAACUCCGAAACUGCAUUUGAUACUGCGGUGCUUGAGGACUGGAGAGGAGACUGGAAUUUACGGUGUAGCAGUGAAAUGCGUAGAGAUCGUAAGGAAGACCAGUGGCGAAGGCGGGUCUCUGGACAGUUCCUGACGCUGAGGCACGAAGGCCAGGGGAGCAAACGGG
RNAcentral lists this ribosomal RNA (253 nucleotides) under uncultured bacterium. Its description in RNAcentral is "partial 16S ribosomal RNA". It matches the Rfam family "Bacterial small subunit ribosomal RNA", at positions 524 to 776 of the family's 1533-position model. The record is from RNAcentral.